RNAcentral lists this ribosomal RNA (451 nucleotides) under uncultured bacterium. RNAcentral's name for it is "bacterial SSU rRNA". It matches the Rfam family "Bacterial small subunit ribosomal RNA", at positions 354 to 796 of the family's 1533-position model. The record is from RNAcentral.
GUCGGGAAUCUUGGACAAUGGGGGAAACCCUGAUCCAGCCACGCCGCGUGGGUGAUGGAGGCCUUCGGGUCGUAAAGCCCUGCCAGAAGGGAAGAAAGGGUCUUUGGCUAAUAUCCACGGGCCUUGACGGUACCUUCAGAGGAAGCGCCGGCUAACUACGUGCCAGCAGCCGCGGUAAGACGUAGGGCGCAAGCGUUGCUCGGAAUUACUGGGCGUAAAGGGCGCGUAGGCGGCUGGGCAAGCGGGAUGUGAAAACCCUUGGCUUAACCAAGGAAGUGCAUUCUGAACUGCCCGGCUUGAGUUCGGAAGAGGGCGGUGGAAUUCCCGGUGGAACGGUGAAAUGUGUAGAUAUCGGGAGGAACAUCUGUGGCGAAGGCGGCCGCCUGGUCCGAUACUGACGCUGAAGCGCGAAAGCGUGGGGAGCAAACAGGAUUAGAUACCCGGGUAGUCC